RNAcentral lists this small nuclear RNA (19 nucleotides) under Arabidopsis thaliana (thale cress). Its description in RNAcentral is "snRNA_14391". Lineage: Eukaryota; Viridiplantae; Streptophyta; Magnoliopsida; Brassicales; Brassicaceae. The record is from RNAcentral.
CCGUAUAGGGCUCACCUUC